CGCUCCUGAUUUCUCAAGCCUGUAAACUCCUUCCAGCAUUGGCGUGCCCUGCCUCAGGCCAAGGGAGUGGAGUGGUGAAUGCCUGUGUGUGUGAGGUGCCUGGCUAGAGUAAGGCAGCCUAAUCCAGGACAGGAGAGCACCAUGACAGCAUCAAGUCCCGGAUCCUGGCUAAUCCUUCCUUUCUGAACAGUCACCGCUUCCAUGUGCAGAGCCCAGGCCUCAAGACUGUAAGGAAGAUGGACUAUACAUCUCAUCAGAACCAUUCCAGUAGCCUCAUCAGGAGGUGCUGUUUCCUGUCACAUCUGCUUUGUGAACUUUUCAGUAAGUCUAAAAUGAACAUCUCCGCAUAAGGAAAAGCACGUCAAAGCCCACCCAGAUGUUCAGCUGUGGCAAGCUGUGAAGAAGGGCCAGAUUGUCUACAGUCAUUUCGGUUUAAUUCAAAACAACCUCACUGUGACCCCAGAAAGAUGCAUGUGAUACGUUAAGCAUCCUGGACUACCUUAGUCACCUCAGUUCUGAGCUACAACAGCCACUUUUGAAGGUGCUCUUUCACAGGUGAAGUUUGAAUGUGUGUCAAGGAGCACCUCCUGGGGUCAAGGAUGAAUAAGGUGAUAUUAAUCAUUCAACAUCAGGUCUUAUCAGAGCUUGCAGGUUAAGCCCCUUGGGCGCCCCUGUGCUCCCAAAGAGCUUGUUUCCUUGGGUUACUGAUUUCAGUUUGAAGUCAGGUGAUUUGCGAAAUGACCCAGGCUUUCCUGUUCGGUUCACACCACAGGGAGCGAGGAGAACAAAUAGGUCCAAAGUCUGUCGGUUCCUGGGCCUUAGGAAGAGACCGGUGUCGGUGUCACGUGCUUGUCUGAUCAGGUGUUCAGGAGUCUGUUUUUCACUUCUCUGGCUUCAGGAAGCUAGGAUACCGCUGCAGAAAGCAAGUUACAAGAAGAUUGGCUUUCAAAGGCAUCCUUGGAAGUCAGGAUUCUACAUUUUGACAGUGCGGACAUUUGGGGGAAAUGGGGCUUCUCUUUAUUCUCUUGUGUAAAUGUGUGAAGCACCUGUAUGGCCGUGCAGGAAAGGGAAGCAGCACUUGGCGACAAUUUGAUCAUAAUAAAGAGGACACUGAUUUUGAAUUAC
This is a long non-coding RNA of Mesocricetus auratus (golden hamster), 1125 nucleotides long. RefSeq lists it as uncharacterized. The record is from RefSeq and is a predicted model, not a curated record. Lineage: Eukaryota; Metazoa; Chordata; Mammalia; Rodentia; Cricetidae. The transcript has 4 exons.